CCUACGGGUGGCAGCAGUGAGGAAUAUUGGUCAAUGGGCGGACGCCUGAACCAGCCAAGUCGCGGGAGGGAAGACUGCUCUAUGGGUUGUAAACCUCUUUUGUCAGGGAGCAACGCCGGCUACGUGUAGCCGGACUGAGAGCACCUGAAGAAAAAGCAGCGGCUAACUCCGUGCCAGCAGCCGCGGUAAUACGGAGGAUGCGAGCGUGACCAGGAUUGAUUGGGUUUAAAGGGUGCGUAGGCGGAAUGCCAAGUCAGCGGUAAAAUCGCGGGGCUCAACCUCGCUCCGCCGUUGAAACUGGCGUUCUUGAGUGGGCGAGAAGUAUGCGGAAUGCGUGGUGUAGCGGUGAAAUGCACAGAUAUCACGCAGAACUCCGAUUGCGAAGGCAGCAUACCGGCGCCCAACUGACGCUGAGGCACGAAAGCGUGGGUAUCGAACAGGAUUAGAUACCCUUGUAGUC
RNAcentral lists this ribosomal RNA (460 nucleotides) under uncultured bacterium. RNAcentral describes it as "partial 16S ribosomal RNA". It matches the Rfam family "Bacterial small subunit ribosomal RNA", at positions 338 to 795 of the family's 1533-position model. The record is from RNAcentral.